CCAGGAGAAGCUGUCAGACUGACCUGGCUGUACUUGCGGAACAACGCGGUAAAAUCGGUAUAGCUGGAGCCUUUGUGGCCGUGCUGGGAAUGGUAUCCAGGAAUGGCCCAGCUGAUUGGGAAGGAAUCCAGGCCCUUUCUUUCUUCUGGCUGGGAGCACCCGACAAAUGAAGGAGCUGCUCCAGCAGGAAAGAGUAUCCAUGUCCAUCCCAUAGCUCUGACAGCGUCAGCCCCGAUUGCUCAUCUGUUUCCAAGUACAGCUGAGACAUUUUGCUGGUGGGCAGAGAAGUCAGGGACACUGCAUCCAGCACCCUGCAGCAGAGGAAGCAUUAGUACUGCUGUUGUUAGCCUUGUUAUUUUCUCCUAAUAAAAAGGUGGUCGUGACUCACUCCAUUAAGAAACAAAAGCAGAGUUGUAAUCUACUGAAAGGCAGUUGUUUGGAUGCUCAGCAUUAGGUG
Molecule: long non-coding RNA, 457 nt
Filed under: Serinus canaria (Common canary)
Lineage: Eukaryota; Metazoa; Chordata; Aves; Passeriformes; Fringillidae
Description: lncRNA (ENSSCAG00000015784.1)
Source: RNAcentral